UACAGAGGGUGCAAGCGUUGUUCGGAAUUACUGGGCGUAAAGCGCGUGUAGGCGGCGUCGUUAGUCGGAUGUGAAAGCCCUCGGCUCAACCGAGGAAGUGCAUCCGAUACUGCGAUGCUUGAGUGUUGGAGGGGGUGGCGGAAUUCCCGGUGUAGAGGUGAAAUUCGUAGAUAUCGGGAGGAACACCGGUGGCGAAGGCGGCGACCUGGGUAGAUACUGACGCUGAGGUGCGAAAGCGUGGGGAGCAAACAGG
RNAcentral lists this ribosomal RNA (253 nucleotides) under uncultured bacterium. Its description in RNAcentral is "partial 16S ribosomal RNA". It matches the Rfam family "Bacterial small subunit ribosomal RNA", at positions 524 to 776 of the family's 1533-position model. The record is from RNAcentral.